CCUACGGGAGGCAGCAGUGAGGAAUAUUGGUCAAUGGGCUGACGCCUGAACCAGCCAAGUCGCGUGAGGGAAGACUGCCCUAUGGGUUGUAAACCUCUUUUGUCAGGGAGCAACGCCGGCUACGUGUAGCCGGACUGAGAGUACCUGAAGAAAAAGCAGCGGCUAACUCCGUGCCAGCAGCCGCGGUAAUACGGAGGAGGCGAGCGUUAUCCUGAUUGAUUGGGUUUAAAGGGUGCGUAGGCGGAAUGCCAAGUCAGCGGUAAAAUCGCGGGGCUCAACCUCGCUCCGCCGUUGAAACUGGCGUUCUUGAGUGGGCGACAUGUAUGCGGAAUGCGUGGUGUAGCGGUGAUAUGCAUAGCUCUCACGCAGAACUCCGAUUGCGAAGGCAGCAUACCGGCGCCCAACUGACGCUGAAGCACGAAAGCGUGGGUAUCGAACAGGAUUAGCUACCCUAGUAGUC
RNAcentral lists this ribosomal RNA (460 nucleotides) under uncultured bacterium. RNAcentral's name for it is "partial 16S ribosomal RNA". It matches the Rfam family "Bacterial small subunit ribosomal RNA", at positions 338 to 795 of the family's 1533-position model. The record is from RNAcentral.